Molecule: ribosomal RNA, 253 nt
Filed under: uncultured bacterium
Lineage: Bacteria
Description: partial 16S ribosomal RNA
Rfam family: Bacterial small subunit ribosomal RNA
Source: RNAcentral
UACGGACUGUGCAAACGUUAUUCGGAAUCACUGGGCUUAAAGAGUCCGUAGGCGGCAUGUUAGGUGAGGUGUGAAAUCCCCCGGCUCAACCGAGGAAUUGCGCUUCAAACCGGCGUGCUUGAGGAAGAUAGAGGUGGGCGGAACUGAUGGUGGAGCGGUGAAAUGCGUUGAUAUCAUCAGGAACACCGGAGGCGAAGGCGGCCCACUGGGUCUUUUCUGACGCUGAGGGACGAAAGCUAGGGGAGCGAACGGG